Heterocephalus glaber (naked mole-rat) is the source of this 6097-nucleotide long non-coding RNA. The record is from Ensembl. NCBI's taxonomy places the organism in Eukaryota, Metazoa, Chordata, Mammalia, Rodentia, Bathyergidae.
AGGGUGACACAAUAAAAGGGACACACUGGGCACAGCACCACCACCCCAACAAGUUCCUCUUGUUCCCCCUAAGGAGCCAAACAGGAAUUGUUGCCACAGGUCACCAGGUCAACGAGCUACAGGAAAGGUUUGCUUAGAAGGAGUUUAGGUGCGACUUCUUUAAAUUUGCUGAAAUUGUUGUAGUAAUGAUUUCAGGCCGCGAGUUGACAAAGGACCUUGGCUCUGCGGCGGCGCCCCUCCCGCCCCGUGGACCACCUGACCCCUCGGCACCCAUUCCGGCCCGGGCUCCCCACCUCCUCCUCCGCCCUCCGCGCCCUGGACACACAGGGAUCGGACGCUCCCCGGGGUGCCGCGAGGGGCAGCGCUGGAUUCUGCCUCCUCCUGGCAGCUGUGGAGAAAUGUCAGGGGCCGACUAGACAGAAGGCAUGCCGUUUUGAAACAGCUUUCAACAGUCACUAGCUUUGACUUACACUUCUGGCCAAGUCAGUCACCAGGACCCAUUUCCAUCCCGCCUCCUGUCUGAAACAACCAAAACAAACUCAAAACAUGUGAGACAAUUGUUUUCAUGACCCUGGACAUCAGGCCGUGGAAGACACUAAUCCCCGAGAGACAGAAAAAUGAGGUUGAGCCCAUGUCUGGGCCAAGUCACUACCUUGAGGGACUGCCCAGACCACAGAGCAGGAAGGGGACCCGGAUGGAGCCCAGCAGAAUCCUUGAGCUGACAGCAUAGUGGCUGGAGUUGGACAACUGAGAAUAGAGGACCCAGAGGUCCUGCUCUAGCAUCGCGCCAAACGCUGGUCAACACAGGUGUACAGAUGCCGCUCAACGUGGGAAAGGGUUAGAGGGACCUGCGCAACCCCGGCACAGCUGAAAAGAGUGCUGACAGGGGCAGGAGAACAGUUGUUAACUGCAUUCUGUAUGUCUAAAAGGUUAUGUAGGGGCCUGGAGUAAAGCACAUGCUUAGCAUGUGUGAGGCUUUGUGGGUUCAAUCCCCAGCAUCCCCCACCCAUGAAGGACAUGGGAGAUGUAUUAAUUAGCUGUCCUGUUGCUGAACCAAUAUUCUACACUUGCAAUUUAAAGGAGGAGAGGUUUAAUUUAGCCUAUGGUUUGGGAGAUUCAGUCCAUGGUCCGCUGGCUCCAAAGCUGGAACAUCAUUGUGGAAGGGUAUGGCGGAGCAAAGCUGCUCAAUUCAUGGUGGUUGGGAAGCAGAGCCAGGGAACAGCACUGGAGAGGAACAGGGGGGCACUAUGUAUGGUGCCCAUGGCCACACCUCCAUGACCCACCCAGGCACACCUAGGAGCUGUUCUAUCCUGCUGGUGUUUCUUCUUCUUCUUUUUUUUUUUGGUACUGGGGAUCGAAUUCCAGACCUUGCACUUGUGAGGCAGGCAGCAGAACCACUGAGAGCUAAAUCCCCGGCCCACUGCUGGUGUUUCUUAAUCUGAUGAUGCUGAUGUUUCAGGAUGAGAUCACUGAAGACAUUACAAAGUUCAAGUUGAACUUCUAGAGAUGAAAACAAUGCCUGGGGUGGGUGUGGUGGCACAUCCCAGUGCUCAGGAGGCUGAGACAGGAGGAUUGCUGUGAGUUCUAGGCCAGCCUGGGCUACAAAGUGAGUUCAAGGCCUGCCUGAACUACACAGUGAGACCCUGUCUCAAAGAUAAAUAAAUAAAUAAAAUGAAAAGAACAUCAAUGAUUUGGAAUUGGCUAUGCUGGUUACUGAGAAGAACCUGUCUGUGAGUUACAGGACAGGGCUAAUCAGCCAUGCAUUUACAUGAUCCUUUUGAGACUGCAGACACACCGGGAUGGGGGUUUCUGGGGAUGUCCAAUGAUUCCCAGAAGUCCCCAGUCAUUGUCCUGGGCCUGUGGUCAACUGGAUGUCUCGAGAGGCAGAGCCCACCUGGCUGAGACCCCAUGCAGACAGAGACAUCCUUUCCUGGGACAGAAGCAUCCCUGGCUGUGCAGAUCCCAGAGCUGGGACAGCAGAACUGAGAUGAUGUUCAGAGACCCCAGCCACCAGCCAGGCCUUUACAGAUGGCCGGUCUGCAUCCCUGCAUCAGCGUACCACCUCCAGCCACCUGAGUGGAAGCAUUUCCUGUCUUCCUCUAACUUUCCAGUGCAAGUUUUCUUCCUGCAAAAGUGUGCUUUGGUUUUAAUCUCCCGAUCUCCUAAAUCAAGGACUCAAAGCAGCCAAGGACAACCCUACCCUACUUCACAGAUCUUGUUAUGCACUGAACUGCACCCCAAGGCUCCUGUGCUGAUCCCAGUGUGCCUGCUUGGCGAUGAAUGAUGCUAAAUCAGGUCAUAAGGGUGGGGCCCUAUCCACUGAAAUCUCAGCACCGAAUUGGCUGGCGCCUGGGUUGUGGCCAUCCCAUCUCCAGAUCUGCAAGAGAUCAAUGUCAGUGUGCACCCGCCCGGCUCUGCUGAUUUGUCUCAGCAUCUGACCUAAGAUAGAUCUCACCCUAGUUUAGCUGAGCGCAUUGCAGUGACCCCAUAAAGCCACAAAGGGUCACCCCCCAAGGUGGGGCUCUGGGGAAACAGGCUGGCAGUUCUGGGAAGGCACUGGAUUGCACAACUUGGACCUGGUGUGCAGCCAGACCAGGAGCCGGCCUUCUCACAACCUCUCUGUCCUCGCCAGCUAUGAACCACAAACUUCAUCCUGUCCACACAACAGGCAAGCAUUAAGUAUGAAAAGGACCAGGCGCAGUGGUACAUGCCUGUUAUCUCAGCACUCUGGGAGGCUGAGGCAGGAGGAUCACAGGUUCAAGCCCAGCCAGGGCAACUUAGAGUUAGCAAGACUCUGUCUCAAAAAAUGAAGAAAGGUCUCACAUUCUUCCUGGGGGACCCCACACCCAGUGUGGCAUCUGUGCCCCUCAGGCUCAACUCCUAAGGAUGCGUCUUUGGAAGAAAAUUAGGUUGCGUGAUGCAUCAUGGACAGACAGGGGGCACGUGAAGGCAUCUGUCACCACCCGGCAAGCUCACCAAGGUCAUGGACAAGUCCCCUGGCCAGUGUGCAAAGCACUGUUGUCAGGUGGCAUGGAGUGCAUCAGACGGAGGCAGAGGCACAACAGGAACCAACUGAAGUCAUGUUUUGUUGUUGUUGUUGUUGUUUUGUGGUACUGGGGAUCAAACUCAGGACCUUUCACUUUCAAGGCAGGUGCAGCACCACUGAGCUAAAUCCCUGGCCCUGAAGUCAUGGUUUUGUAAUGGUUUUUGAUUAUCAUGUUGCUCAGCUGCAAAGAGCAGAACACCCAAGAGUGGCAAAAUAAACUUGGGCUCAUUUCUCUACCAUAACAAGACAAGUGGCCACUGAUGCUGUUUUAGCAGCUCCAGGAGCAUGGAGCUUGCAUCUCCCUGCUUGCUUGCCUUUAACCUCAUGAUUACAAGAAGGUUGCCUGAACUCCUGGCAUCACACCUACAUUCAAAACAGGAAGACAGAGGAAGUUUCCUUCACCUCCUUUGACACCCCCUAGCCUGACAGUCCUACACAAUCCAGUUACUGGAUGGAGGGUCUUGUGGGCUUCUUUCUAGGUUCUUGGUGUCCUGAGCAAAGAAUUGUGCAAGACACAUGGAAAAGGCAGUGAAAAUGUACUUUUAUUGAAGGUGGAAAAGAGGUAAGCUCUGUAGGGUAAGAAUGGGCUGGUGAAAAGGCUCACAGUGGCCAGAGGAUAAGGGAAAGGGGGCUUUUAUAUUCAAAGUUCCUGGGCUGGCAUUGGGACAAUCUUCCUGCCAAAAACUCACUUGACCUGGUGCUAGAUGUAGUUAAAGCCCCCGUGGAAAGACUCAUUUGGUUUCAUGCCAUAUGUGAAUGAAGGAUCAGAAACAGCAGUUUUUGACUGGCUGUGCCCACAUGCAAAUAAGGAUUGAAUGGAGCAGCCUCUGAUUGGUCCUGAGAACAGCACCAGAUUCUGAUGAAGGAUUGAAAACAGCACUUUCCUGAUUGGUGGUCUCAGGUUGGGGGCAGGUCCCUUGUGGGGUCUCAAUCCUAAACCUUACUCAAGUGAGUCACCCAGUCUCGAAGCCAGGCAGAGCCUCUAUACUCCCCCACCUAAAAGUGCAGCCCCAGGUCCCAAGGCAGCUUGGAUAUGAAGCAGGGCAACCAUGGCAGUGCGUGUAUAUAUAUUUGUGUGUGUGUGUGUGUGUGUAUAUGUAUAUUUAUUUAUUUAUUUAUUUAUUUAUUUAUUUAUUUAUUUAUUUAUUUUGGUACCAGAGAUGGAACUUGGGACCUUGGGCUUUGAGGCAGGUGGCAGAAUCACUGAGCUAAAUCCCGGCUGGCCCGGCAGGUCUCUACUAGCACUGCCUAGCCUGCCACACACUCCCACAACCUGCUCCAGGGAGCACCUCCACCCCCACCAGGGUCAGAAAGAGAGGCUGCAGCUGCCUCUGUCCCAUUGCUUCAGACAGACAGCAGGGAAGCCCAGAAGCUGUUUAUAAACCUUCAGGGAGGAGGAGGCUUCCCUAGCAACCAGGUGUGGGGAAGGGCUGGGCCCAGGUGCCCCAGGCUCUGGGCUCGCAAGUGGCCUUGCUCAGUCUCCCUGGGAGUUCAGCUCUGCAAUCAAUGGAUUUGGUGGGAGCCACCAAGAUCAAUAAGAAGGUGACAAAUGACAGGGGAAGAGUUGUAGGGCAGGUGUCUGGGCAGUUGUCGGGCAGUAAGACCUGCAAGUUUCCCUAGGAAAAUCCAGAGUGGGUCUUCUGUAUCCAGACCACCUGCUAACAGCCCUGAGCAUCUCCCCGGAAGGGGAGCUCAAUUUUUAGGUUCAAUAGUCUGGAUUGUGGCACACAUCUGUAAUCCCAACAUAGGAGGCUGAGUGAGGCAAGAGGAUCGCUGCAAAUUCAAGGCCAGCCUGAACUACACAGUGAAAUCCUGUCUCAAAAAUAAAUAAAUAAUAAAUAAAUAAUAAAAUGUGUAUUCAGCAAUAUCCACAUAACAUAAAAUUCACUGUCUGCAUCAGGCACUGUGCGGGGGUACCAGGUACAUUCACACUGCUAUGUGACUGUCACCACCACCCAACUCCAGAAUUUGAUCUUCCCCAACUAAAACUCCAGAGUUUAGCUGGGUGUGGUGCCCCACGCCUGUAGUCCCAGAACUCAGGAGGCUGAGGUGGGAGGAUAGCUGGAAGUUCUAGGCCAGCCUUGGCUACAAAGUGAGUUCAAGUUCAGCCUGAACUACAUAUCAAGACCUUGUCUCAAAAAAAAAAAAAACAAAAACGAAACCAAAAAAAACCCUCUAGUUUGUUAUUUCUUUUUUUUUUUUUUUUUUGGUACCGGGGAUCAAAUUCAGGUCCUUGCACUUGCACAGCAGGUGGCGAAACCACUGAGCUAAAUCCCCGGCCCAUUCAUUUAUUUCUUUGCAGUGCCCGGGAUGGAACCCAGGGCCUUGCACAUACUAGGCAAGCACUCUACCACUGAGCUACACGUGAUUUUAAAAACUCAUUCAGCCAGGUAUAGUGGCCCAGGCCUGUAAUUCCAGCACUCAGGAGGCUGAGGCAGGAGGAUCUGUGUGAGUUUAAGGCCAGCCUGAACUACAUAGUGAGGCCCCAUCUCAAAAAACCAAUUAACAACAACAAUGAUAAAAAACAAAACAACAAAAACCCCUCUUUUUCAACAAGUUUUGAUUGAACAUCUCUGAUGGCUUCUUGAGGGGUCAACAAUACAACUGGGCAUAGUCCUCUUCUGAAGCAUCCUGCCCUGAGGGAUAAGGAAGCCAUAGCCUGAGGUCACAGCAGGAAAGGGGACAGGGGACCCCAGUAGCUGUGCACCUGGAGGUCCAGAAAUGGGAGGGAUGAACAGGCCUGGCUGUUGAGAAACAUCUGCCUGGGCUUAAAGGCCACGUAGUCCCUGGAGUCAGACUGGGCUGAUAAACAGCAUUUGUGGGUCCCCAAUGGGCAGAGUUCCGGCAGGGCACAGUGACUCAGGGCUAAGGACACAAGGACACAGCUUUUGAAAACUCCAGCUUUCCAAACCAGAGUGGAGACAGAAAUAUGUGAAACACGCAGCUCUAAGCCGCCCUCACCCUCGGUCCACUGACCCCCUGGAUGGACUUCAGAUAAAUUACAAGCCUGCCAUGAGCCCUGUGGUGAGAAUCUUGUUUUUCUUCUUUCAG